AUUGAACGCUGGCGGCAGGCCUAACACAUGCAAGUCGAGCGGAGCGGCGGACGGGUGAGUAAUGACUAGGAAUCUGCCUGGUAGUGGGGGAUAACGUCCGGAAAGGGGCGCUAGUACCGCAUCCUAUCAGAUGAGCCUAGUUCGGAUUAGCUAGUUGGUGGGGUAAAGGCCUACCAAGGCGACGGACCGUAACUGGUCUGAGAGGAUGGUCAGUCACACUGGAACUGAGACACGGUCCAGACUCCUACGGGAGGCAGCAGUGGGGAAUAUUGGACAAUGGGCGAAAGCCUGAUCCAGCCAUGCCGCGUGUGUGAAGAAGGUCUUCGGAUUGUAAAGCACUUUAAGUUGGGAGGCGUUACCAACAGAAUAAGCACCGGCUAACUACGUGCCAGCCGCCGCGGUAAUUC
RNAcentral lists this ribosomal RNA (407 nucleotides) under uncultured bacterium. RNAcentral's name for it is "partial 16S ribosomal RNA". It matches the Rfam family "Bacterial small subunit ribosomal RNA", at positions 30 to 526 of the family's 1533-position model. The record is from RNAcentral.